UUGCAGGUUUCAAAUGUGCUUUCUGUGAGAAAGUCAAGAAGGUGCCACUCCCAGCCAAGGAUAAUCCUAAUCCCUGACUUCAGCUUCUUGCUAUCUACACCAUCUGUAAAGGUUACCUAUCCUUAGACAUGUUAGGAUUUUAGCCAUUGACAGAUGUAUUUUCAAACCAAGGCAUGCUCUGUCAGAAGACUACAAAAAUAUUACUGCUUCAGGGUAAUAGUCCUUCCUUUUAUAUAAAUGCACAAAUACAUGCAUGUGUGUGUGUGCACAUAUGCAUUUGAAGAUAAGUAUUUACCUGCUCCUGUUGUACGUCCUCGACUCCAAUCACUAUAUACUGAACCUCCUUCAUGCGAGGCUAUCACUCGAUACAGGAACCAUAUCAGUAACCAUAUGAUAUUUAAAAUCUUGAGAUCAAUUGUGUCGAGUAAAACAAAUUAAAUCAUGCCAGAUAAAAAUUAUGAAUUUUUCCAUAAAAGCAUCAUCUUCAGGAAGGACCUCAGGAGGGUGUUCUGCCAUCAUCACGUUAUGAAAAGCAUUUGAAAGAAAUGCUGACUGUUGUUGUUGACAAGGAGGAGGGGAUCCUUCCUGAGGAUGGUAUAACUUCGCGGGAGCCCUCCCAGAAAGACUCCUGUGUUAUCUCCAAUAACAGUACUACCAUUCAGGAUGGCAGAGGAACCUAGAGAAGAGGAGAUGAGAAAUACACCUUCACCAGGAUACUCUAGUUUUACUAGCUCAGCAAAUAAUAAAAUCCUUCACCAGCCUUUGGGAUACCAC
RNAcentral lists this long non-coding RNA (774 nucleotides) under Homo sapiens (human). RNAcentral's name for it is "HSALNT0021852". The record is from RNAcentral. Lineage: Eukaryota; Metazoa; Chordata; Mammalia; Primates; Hominidae.